RNAcentral lists this ribosomal RNA (318 nucleotides) under uncultured bacterium. RNAcentral's name for it is "bacterial SSU rRNA". It matches the Rfam family "Bacterial small subunit ribosomal RNA", at positions 1 to 314 of the family's 1533-position model. The record is from RNAcentral.
GAGUUUGAUCAUGGAGUUUGAUCGUGGCUCAGGACGAACGCUGGCGGCGUGCCUAACACAUGCAAGUCGAACGGGACUUGCCCCUUCGGGGACAAGUUUAGUGGCGGACGGGUGAGUAACGCGUGAGCAACCUGCCUUUCAGUGGGGGACAACAGUUGGAAACGACUGCUAAUACCGCAUAAUACUUAUUAGGGGCAUCUCUGAUAAGUCAAAGAUUUAUUGCUGAAAGAUGGGCUCGCGUCUGAUUAGCUAGUUGGUGGGUAAUGGCCCACCAAGGCGACGAUCAGUAGCCGGACUGAGAGGUUGAACGGCCACAUU